GGCUUGGUAGUGUAAUGGUAUCACGCUGCGUAUUCUUGGGCUCCAGAUACGUGAACGCCCUUGUGGAGGUUCCUCGUUCAAUUCGGGGCCAGGCCA
Molecule: non-coding RNA, 96 nt
Organism: Mycena maculata
Lineage: Eukaryota; Fungi; Basidiomycota; Agaricomycetes; Agaricales; Mycenaceae
Source: the annotation of a GenBank genome assembly